CCUACGGGGGGCAGCAGUGGGGAAUAUUGCACAAUGGGGGAAACCCUGAUGCAGCGACGCCGCGUGAGUGAAGAAGUAUUUCGGAAUGUAAAGCUCUAUCAGCAGGGAAGAAAAUGACGUUACCUGAUUAAGAAGCACCGGCUAACUACGUGCCAGCAGCCGCGGUAAUACGUAGGGGGCAAGCGUUAUCCGGAUUUACUGGGUGUAAAGGGAGCGUAGACGGCAGCACAAGUCUGGAGUGAAAUGCCCGGGCUUAACCCCGGAACUGCUUUGGAAACUGUGCAGCUAGAGUGCAGGAGAGGUAAGUGGAAUUCCUAGUGUAGCGGUGAAAUGCGUAGAUAUCAGGAGGAACAUCAGUGGCGAAGGCGACUUACUGGACUGUAACUGACGUUGAGGCGCGAAAGCGUGGGGAGCAAACAGGAUUAGAUACCCGGGUAGUC
Molecule: ribosomal RNA, 440 nt
Filed under: uncultured bacterium
Lineage: Bacteria
Description: partial 16S ribosomal RNA
Rfam family: Bacterial small subunit ribosomal RNA
Source: RNAcentral